UACAGAGGGGGCAAGCGUUGUUCGGAAUUACUGGGCGUAAAGGGCGCGUAGGCGGCCUGUUAAGUCGAACGUGAAAUCCCCGGGCUCAACCCGGGAACUGCGUCCGAUACUGGCAGGCUUGAAUCCGGGAGAGGGAUGCGGAAUUCCAGGUGUAGCGGUGAAAUGCGUAGAUAUCGGGAGGAACACCAGUGGCGAAGGCGGCGAUCGUGGGCAGAUACUGACGCUGAGGUGCGAAAGCGUGGGAGCAACAGG
Molecule: ribosomal RNA, 252 nt
Filed under: uncultured bacterium
Lineage: Bacteria
Description: partial 16S ribosomal RNA
Rfam family: Bacterial small subunit ribosomal RNA
Source: RNAcentral